AGAUUGAACGCUGGCGGCAUGCCUUACACAUGCAAGUCGAACGGCAGCGCGGGAGCAAUCCUGGCGGCGAGUGGCGAACGGGUGAGUAAUACAUCGGAACGUGCCCAAUCGUGGGGGAUAACUACGCGAAAGCGUAGCUAAUACCGCAUACGAUCUAUGGAUGAAAGCAGGGGACCGCAAGGCCUUGCGCGAUUGGAGC
This 199-nucleotide ribosomal RNA is filed under the name uncultured bacterium. RNAcentral's name for it is "partial small subunit ribosomal RNA". It matches the Rfam family "Bacterial small subunit ribosomal RNA", at positions 26 to 227 of the family's 1533-position model. The record is from RNAcentral.